CCAAAAGGGAAAGCCGAACGAACAAGCGAACGAUACCAAAGAACGCCAACCACAACAAACGAAAGAAGCAGCGAGAAGGACGAGACGAACAGGGAGAUAGAACUGGCGUGUUGCUGCCCUCACCGUCAGCGACUGCCUGGCUACCUCCGUGCGUGUACGCGUCUGUCUUUUGAGGUCGUCGACACGUGCUGCGAGUGAGUGUCCCCCGUUGUCUUUGGUGUGCUCUCUUUCUCUCUCUCCCUCUCUUGCCUUGGUGUGUCUUGUCUUGCGUCUCCCCAAACUGUCAACGACGAGCCACGGAGAGGCAGAAACGAAAAGAAACAGAAGAAAAAACGAAAAGCGUGAAAAAAGGGAGCAAACAAGACACUAAAACACACGUGCACACAUACACACUCUGAACCGUAUAUCUCCCGCAGCAGGCACAGCGUGCCUUUUCUCGCACUCUCUCUAUCUCUUUCUCCCACCUUCCCCACUUCAACGGACAGCGUGCAACGAGCACUGCGCAUACACGUGCUGCGACGAACUGCUUCAG
This 532-nucleotide unclassified non-coding RNA is filed under the name Leishmania donovani. RNAcentral's name for it is "gene:unknown". The record is from RNAcentral. Lineage: Eukaryota; Euglenozoa; Kinetoplastea; Trypanosomatida; Trypanosomatidae.